This is a non-coding RNA of Cinclus cinclus, 468 nucleotides long. NCBI's taxonomy places the organism in Eukaryota, Metazoa, Chordata, Aves, Passeriformes, Cinclidae. The record is from the annotation of a RefSeq genome assembly.
CUUGUUCCCGCGGGGCUCCGGGCGGCCGCGACCCUGCCGGAGUCCGGGGGGGACCUCCAGAAACCCGGGGGGUCCCUGACUCUCGUGUGCCGCGCAUCCGGAUUCAGUUUUGGGAGUUUUGGGAUGGGCUGGAUGCGCCAGAGCCCCGGGAAGGCGCUGGAAUGGGUCGCAGGGAUCAGCAGCAAUGGUGGUUACACCUACUACGCGCCAUCGGUCAAGGGCCGGUUCACGAUCUCCAGGGACAACGGGCAGAGCUCGGUGACGCUGACCAUGACCAACCUCAAGGACGACGAUUCCGGCUCCUAUUUCUGUGCCAAGGAUGCUGCUGGUGGUGCUGCUGAUCAUGCCGGUGCUUUUGGUCUUGUGCUGCUCGUUGCGUUGUUUAUCUUGACGGAUUUCAUCUCCGUUCCCGUCUCCACGUCCCCUCCUCUCCCCAAACCUCCCCAGACCGUUCCCCCAAACCCCUGA